UUGUGACACACGGCUGUCAGAGUUCAGUUUUUCCUGUGAUUUACUACAGGGAUGCAGACCCAUGUUGACUCCAAUGCUGCCCAAAGUUGUUUCAAGUUGGCUGGAUGCUCUUUGGAUAGUGGACCAUUCUUGAUACACACGGGAAACUGUUGAGCAUGAAAAACCCAGCAGCGUUGCAGUUCUUGACACAAACAGGUUAUUCCGGGGACUCGAUCUAGCAUUUGCUGUGCAAUUGGGUGUCCUGAAAUCGAUUCCCAAUGCACCGCUGACUGCAGCCUGUGGGACUGGGGAAUCUAGGGUUAUCUGGAUGUCACUUCUGCACAAGGACGUCCAUUUGUUGCUGUAAUUAACUAAGCCGCCGAUAACACCCACGGAGUACCUUUGGAAGUGGUUUGAAGGAGAUGUGGCUGAGAGUUUAUUUGAGAGGUGAUUCCCGGUGCCUGAUUCACAGUGGCCCCUGCUUCCUCUCCAAACAGGGCCAGUAGUUUACUAGGGGUGAGUUGGAUGCAGUGUGAGAGAGAAAGCAUGUAAAUUAGAGGGAAGAACGGAGGAAAGCAACUGCCAAUGAGGCAGUGGGUGUGAGAGACACAAAGGUCUCAUUGUUACAUUUGCUACAAACAUUGCCAACUGGGCCUGUAUGGGCAGGAUGGACAGAGGGUUAUGAAAUCUGCCAAUAUAUACGCCUUCCUGCACCAAACGUCACUUUCAGCAAGAAAAAAGGAAUCAUUGUUGUUAGGAUUUGGAUUGAUAUACUCAAACCAGAGGUUUGUUUUGGGGUCAAUACAGCAAUAGGUCGGAGGUCAAGAAGACAUACAUGUCUCUGAAGCCAGUGUGAUUGAAUAUCUGUCGUCUGAAAGCUAUUCCUAUAAUUGAAAAAGAGAAGAGAGUAAUUUCAAUUGCCCGAACUACCCAAUGUGAAUUUCAGGUUCCCAUCCAACAUGAUUGUUUACUCAGCUAAACAUAUACAAUAUACAGUAGGCGUUCAUCUCAUCUCUCCAGGUCUAGGUCUACAAUUGUGUUACAAUAUUUGGGUUCUCCAUUAUGUAAUAUCUGCUCUAUUCCUUUUGAAUACGUUUGACCUUCACCAAGUCCUGUACAAUCACCAAUCACCAUUUCUGUCUGGGAGGUCCUUUAAAUUCAAAGCCCACUGUCUGUAUUGUAGAUCUAUGAUUGCAUUUGAAUGAAGUACUGUACACCCUCGAUCAGUGCUUAGUUAUAACCCUCUGCGAUGUUUUGUCAAUACAUUGAAUUUAAAUCAUUAAGCCUGAUGGACUUUGUUAUUGUCUGAAAUAUGUCAACAUGUACUGCAAUAUAAUUAAAGGUUUAUUAAAGGGAUGUUGCUAACCGAAAUGAUCUUGGAGGAACAUAUAGGGUGACCACAUUUAAAAUACCCAAAUGCGGUACAACAGGAUGCCACAUACACACACAAAAAUAAAUCUCCCUCCCAUGCAUGGUGUAUUGCAAAUGUUUAAGGUGC
This is a long non-coding RNA of Oncorhynchus keta (chum salmon), 1477 nucleotides long. RefSeq lists it as uncharacterized. The transcript has 4 exons. Lineage: Eukaryota; Metazoa; Chordata; Actinopteri; Salmoniformes; Salmonidae. The record is from RefSeq and is a predicted model, not a curated record.